UUGCUGCCCGAUUUCCCACUUCCCCAAUAUGAAUGGAUCCGCUGAGCAACUGAUUUUGAUGAUAAUUAAAUGCUAAUUUAAGGCCCAAAACUGACACUUCACCUCCCUUUUUUCCAACAGUAGAACUGGCCAGAAAAAUUUGGCCAUGCAAAGCAAACAUCUAUGCAAGAGUCUAGGUCAAUGACUUCACCAAACUACACUUUCUAUGCUUCAGAGACUUUGAAACAACAAGCCAGUAACAAAAAUUUAUUUCAUGGCCCUAUCAUAUGUUUUUCCCAGUCUAAUAAGAUGGCCAAAGGUUAAAUCCAUAUAAAUGUUUCAAUGUGGUGGCCUAUCUCAAUAGGCAAACCUUUGGUACUAUACUUGCUUUGAUAUUAUGAUGGCACUCCCAAUCCUCCACCUAAACAAUUCUAAGCACACUAAAUGCUCCUAUUCUAGCUUUUGAUACCAUGUAUCUUUCUAAAUUACCUUUAAGUUAGCUAAAUAAAGACUCCUUCAAUCUUGGUGCUUUUCAGAUAUAAAUGUCAUUUAAUCUAGUCAAAGAGACACUAAUGAAUCAGCCUUCAGUUAUGAUUUUAGGUAGUAAAUAAGCACUAUUUCGAACAAGUUAUAGGCUAUCUUGACUCCUACUAUCAUAUAAGAUUAACACUUGCCCAAUUCCACACCCAAGUCCUAUCAUUCUAAUUUGUAGAUGUACAGUUCAAUUAUGUAUCCUUAUUCAAAAGGCAAACUACUCUCCUUUACCUAUGUUGCAUCAUUGGUUCUGUCGAAAACAACUUAGCUU
This 784-nucleotide long non-coding RNA is filed under the name Phoenix dactylifera (date palm). RNAcentral describes it as "long non-coding RNA (PDAC_LNC018284)". Lineage: Eukaryota; Viridiplantae; Streptophyta; Magnoliopsida; Arecales; Arecaceae. The record is from RNAcentral.